AACAGACACACAACACAAACAACAACAGACACAAAUGACACAACAGACACAAACAACACAACAGGGUUUUGAAUGGUGGACUUGGUGGUAAAACCGUUUUUUUCAAAGAAAUGUAAAGAUGCUUGCAGAUAAAAAGAUUUACAAAGUAAAAAUGACGCUGUGUGUUUCUCACUUAAUCUUGAGACUUGACCAAUCAGUGUCAUCGGCGACGUGUUCGGAGGGGAGGAGUGAAGCAGACAGGAAGGAGGAGUGACGCAGACAGGAAGGAGGAGGGAGACCAUAUAAGGGGAAAUUAAUGUGGCAGGAAAUGGGACCUGAAAGACGUUACGCAACAUCACAGCUUCUGUCAACAACACGUGGAAAAAAACAUAACAUUCUGCUGCUGUCGCUCAGCGGCUCUGUGGCGCCACCCGGUGGCUAAACGUCCCGAGCAGCUGACAGUUUAAAUCGGUUUCAUUGGGGAAAGAAACGUCCGUGAAGAGGAAAACAAUACCCGAAGCUGCCGGAGCGGGGCCGCUGCUUCGGGGCCGUCGCAGCGCCCCCUGCAGGCGGGAGGCUGCGAGCCACUUCCACAGAAUGGAAGCAGGAAGACCGGAAGAGCAGAGUGGAAAAGUGAGCGGCGCCCUCAGCGUAGGACGAAGAAGAAGAAAAAGAAGAAGAAGAGGAAGAAGAGGACGUGGAGGGCACAGCGAGGAACUCUAGCUGGCCAAUAGAGAGGCUGCGAAUCUGCUGGCCGCUGGGAGGGCGGGGCGAUGCGAUCAAGCCACGCCCCUCCAGUUGAGGUAAGCCCCGCCCUUCAACCGACCUCUGAGAGCUGAACGUCUGACCGGGGUCCACCAUCCUCUGUCGCAGGGGCAUCAGACUCUGAGCUGUGGGGACAAACAGAGGCAGAGGAGAGUUGGUUGUUUUAUUUUGAAAACCAGAAACACAGGAAGUUCAGGCACUGAAGAAAAUAUGCAAAAGAAGAAGUAAAAGCUUUUUAUCCAAAGAGUAUUGAAGAGUGUCAUACUGCAGAUGAAUGUGAUUCCAAAACAAGAAUCAUUUUAUAAAUUAAUGUGACGACAGCUGUCAAAUAUUACAAAAGAAAAAACGAUAAAACACAAUUUUCAAAAUAGUUAAAAAAUGAAUCUGUCUUGUUGUGGAAUCAAAACAACUGAAAUUGACUUGUGCAAUAAUACAUAUUAAUAAAAGCAUUAAUGUUGUGCCUU
Long non-coding RNA from Cyclopterus lumpus (lumpfish), 1208 nucleotides. RefSeq lists it as uncharacterized. Lineage: Eukaryota; Metazoa; Chordata; Actinopteri; Perciformes; Cyclopteridae. The transcript is spliced from 3 exons. The record is from RefSeq and is a predicted model, not a curated record.